AUACAUGCAAGUCGAACGAGUUCUCGUUGAUGAUUGGUGCUUGCACCGAGAUUCAACAUGGAACGAGUGGCGGACGGGUGAGUAACACGUGGGUAACCUGCCCUUAAGUGGGGGAUAACAUUUGGAAACAGAUGCUAAUACCGCAUAGAUCCAAGAACCGCAUGGUUCUUGGCUGAAAGAUGGCGUAAGCUAUCGCUUUUGGAUGGACCCGCGGCGUAUUAGCUAGUUGGUGAGGUAAUGGCUCACCAAGGCGAUGAUACGUAGCCGAACUGAGAGGUUGAUCGGCCACAUUGGGACUGAGACACGGCCCAAACUCCUACGGGAGGCAGCAGUAGGGAAUCUUCCACAAUGGACGCAAGUCUGAUGGAGCAACGCCGCGUGAGUGAAGAAGGCUUUCGGGUCGUAAAACUCUGUUGUUGGAGAAGAAUGGUCGGCAGAGUAACUGUUGCCGGCGUGACGGUAUCCAACCAGAAAGCCACGGCUAACUACGUGCCAGCAGCCGCGGUAAUACGUAGGUGGCAAGCGUUAUCCGGAUUUAUUGGGCGUAAAGCGAGCGCAGGCGGUUUUUUAAGUCUGAUGUGAAAGCCCUCGGCUUAACCGAGGAAGCGCAUCGGAAACUGGGAAACUUGAGUGCAGAAGAGGACAGUGGAACUCCAUGUGUAGCGGUGAAAUGCGUAGAUAUAUGGAAGAACACCAGUGGCGAAGGCGGCUGUCUGGUCUGUAACUGACGCUGAGGCUCGAAAGCAUGGGUAGCGAACAGGAUUAGAUACCCUGGUAGUCCAUGCCGUAAACGAUGAAUGCUAGUGUUGGAGGGUUUCCGCCCUUUCAGUGCCGCAGCUAACGCAUUAAGCAUUCCGCCUGGGGAGUACGACCGCAGGUUGAACU
RNAcentral lists this ribosomal RNA (885 nucleotides) under uncultured Lactobacillus sp. Its description in RNAcentral is "bacterial SSU rRNA". It matches the Rfam family "Bacterial small subunit ribosomal RNA", at positions 51 to 901 of the family's 1533-position model. The record is from RNAcentral. Lineage: Bacteria; Bacillati; Bacillota; Bacilli; Lactobacillales; Lactobacillaceae.